Podarcis lilfordi (Lilford's wall lizard) is the source of this 72-nucleotide non-coding RNA. The record is from the annotation of a GenBank genome assembly. Lineage: Eukaryota; Metazoa; Chordata; Lepidosauria; Squamata; Lacertidae.
GCAUCUAGCUCAGACAGUAGAACAUGAGACCCUUAGUCUCAGGGUCGUGGGUUCAAGCCCAAAUGUUGAACA